Non-coding RNA from Kogia breviceps (pygmy sperm whale), 1059 nucleotides. Lineage: Eukaryota; Metazoa; Chordata; Mammalia; Artiodactyla; Physeteridae. The record is from RefSeq and is a predicted model, not a curated record.
AGUUUAAGUGCAAGUAAGCAGGCAGUUUUCGAAGUCAAAGAAGGUGAAAGAUAGAAAAGGGUCAUCUUCCCCAAUCAAGAAAGGGAACCCAUGCCUACAAGUUAGAGAACCCCCGAAAUUCUCCCACUGCCAUAAACCGCUGAAACGGAGAGCUAAGGCAGGGACUCUGUGAGUCAUGAGAACAGAAUCCAGUGAGGAGAUGCUGGCGCAGGACAUUUCCUGUUUUCAGAGUCCCUGCCAAGCCAGUUAUGGAUGGAUUUGCAUUUGGCUUGGGAAAUGAGUGCACCAAGCCAGUUUUGGUAGCUCUGCUUCCCCCUGGGUGGGGCAGCAAGCCCCAAUAAAAAGGUCCUCUGCUGCACGACAGCUAUCCUUCUGCUACUCGAGUUCCGAUUGAACUUGGAGAACCUGAUAUUGAGAUUCCAGAAAGAUGUCUUCUCAAGAGCAGCAGUGCAAGCAGCAGUGCAAGCCACCUCCAGUGUGCCCACAUAAGUGCCCUGAUCCUUGCUCACCUACCAAGGUGAAAGACCCUUGCCCACAGAAAAAGGACACCGACCCUUGCUCACCGAAAAAGGACACCGACCCCUGCCAGCCUAAGGAGUGCCAGAAGAAAUGUCCUCCUGUGACACCUGUUCAGCAAUGCGAGCAGAAGUGCCCACCCAAGAACAAGUAACAGCUUCAGCUUUUAUCUGCAUCCGGAAGGGAUAAGGACAAUCGGCUCACCUAGUCCCACAGCUCCACCUUCAUCUUCUCUUCAAAGCCUAUCAUGGAUACAGAAGAAGCUUUCCACCCUUCAGCCUGCAGUGUGCGUGUGGUGAUUCCUGACGGUCAGAGGUUUCCUAUCUGAGUCUGCUACGCCGCUUCCCUCUGGAGGUACCCGAGAAAGCAUCGCAGAGCCUCAGGAGGAAAAGCAGCAGCUCUUCUCCCGAGGGCCCUCUGAGGAUUCUCUCGCUUUCUUCUGUGUCUGUCUGUCACCUGGGCAGUGUUUUCUACCAGAUGAGCAAUUGUUCCUUAUCCUCCACACCCUGAAUAAAAUACAAUUCUUUUGUGUGAUGGUAAAAA